This is a non-coding RNA of Pelobates cultripes (western spadefoot toad), 2921 nucleotides long. Lineage: Eukaryota; Metazoa; Chordata; Amphibia; Anura; Pelobatidae. The record is from the annotation of a GenBank genome assembly.
UGUCAUACAAAUACAAAUAUCAUACAAAUAUACAUUUGUGAUACAAACAAACAACACAGCAGCAAAAUAGGGGAGGGAGAAGAAAAAUACAUCAGAAAGACUUCCAUAGUAGAGUGGUAAUAUCAUUUAGAUAAGUCUCAUAAUUAUUUACAAUGUUCAUGGAAUUAUUCUACUACUAAUUGAGCGACACUAUUUUAUACAUCAAUCAUCUCAAUACACUUUAACCAAACAGAAAUCUUAUUGCUUAGUCUUUGUUUACUUAGCAUCAGCUCCAUUCUAAUCUGAAACUCGAGUUGAGUUUUAACUUUCUUCCAGGGGACUUCUAAAUCCCUUUUCCACCAUCUCGCAAUUACUAUUUUAGCCGCUAAAAACAGAUGUAUAAGAAUUGCUUUUAAUUCAUAUGUCAUAUGAGGCCAAUUUAGAUGAAGUAGAACUGCCUCUGGAGAGAUAAUCAACUCGAGUUUUAAAUUAUUAGAUAUAAAGUGCUGCAUUUUCAACCAGAGAUUUUUUAAUUUAUAGCAAUCCCACCAAAUAUGUCUAAAAUUGCCUCUAAUACUAUUGCAUCUCCAACAGAUAGGAUUUACUAGAGGGUAAAUUUUAUUCAAUUUAGCUGGUACUAAGUACCACCUAUUUAAAACUUUAAAGUGCGUUUCUAAUAAAUUUAAUGAAUGUAUAUUCUUCUUAACAUCCAUCAUUGAAGAACCCCAUUGAUUCAGAUUUAUAUCAAUAUUCAAGUCUUGUUUCCAAGCCUGUAUGGCAGUAGGACUUGUGUCUUUAGCUAUUGAUUUAAUUAGUAUUAGAGCUUUGGAAAGUGGUUUAUUAACUUUUUUUGAUGUAAAUAAUAAAUCUAUCGAAUUGCUUAAAUUAGAUUUUGGUAUUAUAAGAUGUGUAUUAAUAUAGCUUUUAAGUCUUAGAAAAUUAAACACCUCUCUAGGAGGGAGAUUAUGUAUCUCUGUUAUUUGAGCAAAGGUUUUAAUUAAUCCUUCUGUCAAUAAUUGGUCCAGAGUCGUUAUCCCUACUUUUUUCCAAUUAUUUAAGUUUAAAUCUUCCACUUGUUUUUCUACAAUAUCUAACUCUAAAUAACUUGGAACUUUUUUUUCUAUAUUCAUUACUUUUUUAAUUUUUAACCAAUUUUCCAAUAAUUGAGUUAGAAUAAUACUGGCAUACUCUUUUUUCUUUGACAUUUUAUUUAUAUUCCAAAUUAAACAAUCUAGGCUAGAAACUUCUCCUGCCUUCAAUUCCAUUUUAUACCAUCCCUCAUCUUUAUUUUCUUUCAUUUGCAUUCUAUAGACAUGUAGGAUAAUAGCUGCUUUAAAAUUAUUCAUUAUGAGUGGAUAAUCAAGUCCACCUUUAUAUAUUUUCUGCACUAAUAUUGACUGUUUCAAUCUCGGCUUCUUGCCUUUCCAGAUGUAUUGAGUAAAACUUCUUUGUAUUAAUUGAAGCCAAUGGAUUGGGAUAUGGAGAGGUAACAUUUGAAACAUAUAAUUCCACUUUGGUAUAACGUAUGAAUUAAUAACAUUUAUUCGCCCCCAAAAAGUAAUCUCUAGGUUUCUGCGAUCUUUUAACCAUUUAUUAAGAUCUAAUAAUAAUGUUAGGAAAUUUACUUCCAUAAUCUUAUUUGUCUCUCUGGUUAUUUUAAUUCCUAAGUAAUCCAUACUUUCUUUAACCCAAAUAAAAUCGUAUUUAUUUUUAAUCUCUCGUUGUAUCCUUUUAUUUAGGUUAACAUCUAAUAUCAAGGAUUUAUUUAUAUUUAACUUAUAAUUUGAUAUGAAGCUGUAUCGCUCUAUUUCUUGCAUUAUACGUUCCAAAGAAUUUUUAGGGUUUGUAAGAGUAAUUAAAAUGUCAUCAGCAUAUAAGCUAAUUUUUUGGUCCUCAUCCAUUAUUUUAUAACCAUGGAUCUCUUUAUUAUUCCUAAUAUUCUCAGCCAAUGGCUCGAUAGUCAACAAGUAGAGCAAUGGUGAGAAGGGACAACCCUGUCGGGUACCAUUUCUAAGUUGGAACCAUGGGGCGACUAUAUUAGGUCCAAUAGUUCGUGCAACAGGAUUUACAUAUAGUGCCAUUAUAGCUUUCUUAAUCCAACCUUCCAAUCCAUAAUGUUGUAGGACGGCUUCUAAAUAUUUCCAGCUGACUCUGUCGAAUGCUUUUUCAGCAUCAAUCGACAGAGUCAGAACUGGAACAUCAUAUCUAUUUGCGUCGUCCAAGAUAUUAAUAAUUUUCCUUAUACUUGUAUAGGAAUUUCUACCUGGAACAUAUCCUAUUUGAUCUUUAUGGAUGAUUAGUGGAAGAAGUUUUUUUAUUCUGGCAGCCAAAACUGACGCGUAUAACUUAGUGUCAACAUCUAUUAAAGAUAUCGGACGAUAGUUUUUGAUAUCAGUGGGGUUUUUAUCGUUUUUUAGAAUAGGCAAGAUAUUAGCUUUUAGCAUCUCUGCUGGUAAAAAUCCUCUGUUUGCCGCUAUGUUGAAAGCAGAGGUCAAAUGUGGGCAUAUUAAAUCUUUAAAUGUUUUAUAAAAUAGGUUGCUAAACCCAUCCGGGCCUGGUGUUUUAGAUCUUUCUAAAUCAUUUAUUGCUUUCAUAGUCUCCUCCAUAGUUAUAGGUUUAUUUAAGAAAUCAUUUUCAAUAGAAGUUAAUUGAGGCUUCUUUAUAUUAUUUAAAUAGUUUUUAAUAUCCUCAUCUGUGUUAAUCUGAGGAAUAUUGUAUAGAUUGGCAUAAUAUUCAUUAAAACACUUUCCAAUCUCUCUUGGGGUUAAUGCUAUUUUUCCAUUCUGUAUUAUUUUGUCUACCUUAUUUUGUACUUUUUGUUUUCUAAGUUUUUGGGAUAGCAUCUUUUCAGCUCGAUUGCCUUUGGAGUAAUAUUUAAGUUUUAAUCUAUCCAUAUUUUUAGCUAUCGUAUCCAUUAAUUUUUGCUUUAUUUUUUCUUUAAG